GAUGAACGCUGGCGGCGUGCCUAAUACAUGCAAGUCGAGCGAACAGACGCGGAGCUUGCUCCGCUGACGUUAGCGGCGGACGGGUGAGUAACACGUGGAUCACCUCCCUAUAAGACUGGGAUAACUUCGGGAAACCGGCGCUAAUACCGGAUAAUAUAUUGAACCGCAUGGUUCAAUAGUGAAAGACGGUUUUGCUGUCUCGUCUCGCUGGUUCCCGGCCGCAUUAGCUAGUUGGUAAGGUAACGGCUUACCAAGGCAACGAUGCGUUGCCGACCGGAGAGGCGGGUCGGCCACACUGGAGCGUGGCCGCGGUCCAGACGCCUGCGGGAGGCAGCAGUAUGCAAUCUUCCGCAGUGGGCGAAAGCCUUACGGAGCAACGCCGCGUGAGAUAUGAAAGUCCUCGGAUCGUAAUGCUCUGUUAUUGGUUAAAAACAAAUGUGGAAGUAGCUGUGCACGUCUUGACGGUACCUGAUCAGAAAGCCCCGGCUAACUACGUG
RNAcentral lists this ribosomal RNA (497 nucleotides) under uncultured bacterium. RNAcentral describes it as "partial 16S ribosomal RNA". It matches the Rfam family "Bacterial small subunit ribosomal RNA", at positions 28 to 507 of the family's 1533-position model. The record is from RNAcentral.